AAGAGUCGUAUUUUCUAGUUGUAUGCGAAUGUUCACCUCGCGGCACUCUUAUAAGAGAAACGAAUGAGCACCAGAUGAGCACCUCUCUAAGUUCUUUUGGAGCGCGUAACUUAACGUUACAUUUGAUAUCGCUGAUAUAAGCUUGGUUCAGAUGAAGUUCUGAAGGUAACGUUACAAACUCUUCUUUCAGUUUUCUGAAGUUACGUUAGUCAUUCAAGUAUCUCACCAGAACCCAGUGUAAUGCUGCGUGAAUAUCUGUUUUUAUACAGUCUAUGGUGAAUAUACGGUCAUAAGUUAUAAGUAAAUUGCAUACGUUCAAAACUAUAUAUUUUAGAAUAACAGUAAUAAUAGCAUAGUUGUAUCUUGUAUAAAUAGCCAUACAAUAAGGAUAGACACAAAUGUGUUAAAUUUCCUUUUAUUUUGUUAUAAUUCUGUGUUGUGUCAUUUAAAAGCAUGGUCUGGAUGGUAAAGUUUGUCUUUGGUAAUUAAAACAAACUUGUCAAUACAUUUGACUUUCUCUUUAAAGAUGUAUUUAUAUAUUUAUGUUAUUAUUUUACAGUGUUUUGACGUGUUUCUGUAUUUGUCAUGUUUAUGAUAUUUUGGAAUGACUGAAGAUCAGCGCAGAAUACAAUAAUCUUGUGGAUGGACCGCAGCGAGUCCUUUUGCAGUUGUAUCCCUCAAAAUGCUUUGCAGACAUAAUGGAAAUGACAUUCACAUUGUAGAGCUUGGACAAAGUUGUAAAGCAAACACACAGGAAUUCAUCAAGGACAUGACUGUUGGGAUUACGCUCGUGGAUGACCAAACUGAGCACCAUCAGUCUGCAGUGAUGUGGUCCAGCUAAUAGAAGAAGAAAUCUGAGCCAUCCAGUGAAAUUAAGGAUGUUGUGAAAGAAACUGACGCAUUUGGACUCCUAAUGGGUCUGUAUGCAGUGAACAUCCACUACCUCAAACUCAUGAAAUACACCACUGAUGCUCUGCAAAAACUUGUGAAGAACA
This is a long non-coding RNA of Cyprinus carpio (common carp), 995 nucleotides long. The record is from Ensembl. Lineage: Eukaryota; Metazoa; Chordata; Actinopteri; Cypriniformes; Cyprinidae.